UAUCAUCAGUUCAGAUAAACCCUGGUGAAGAUCUGCAGCUGGAUUUGCACGUAUCAGAGCGAGUGGAGGUGAUCUAUAAGGGUGAAGAUUCAGCAGAUCCACAUGGUGAACAGAUCUGCACUGUGGAUAGAAGCUCACUACGCUGUACAGCUGAAUACACACCGAGAACAUCACUCACUAACACAGUUCUUACACUGAGAGGAGUAAAGCUGACUGAUGGGGGAGUUUACAUCGUCCGAGACACGGAGAAUAAUGAAGAUCUUCAUAUUUACUCAGUAUCAGUGAGAGAGAGAGCGCUACCAUGGUGGGCGAUUAUCCUGAUAGUGCUGCUGCUGCUGCUUGUUGUUGUGCUGUCUGUUAAAAUCUGCUACCAGAGGAAACUACUUCAACGACAUCAACUCUGCCAAAGAGAUGAAUCGUACAGAGGAGCAGCAGUGGAGCAGGAAGAGACCAGAGCUGGAAUGGCACCCUACAAAUGAGGGACCAGGCAGAGAACAAAAGCAUGUUGGAGCAGGAAGAGAACCUGAAGCUCAAACAUAAGAAUGGAGUAACAGAGGGAAGAGACUUAUAACUUCAUACAGCAUGAUUCUACUGCAAGUCUUUUUUUUAAUCCCUUUAUCUGUUACAUAUCCUCAUCAGAUAAUUCUAUAGGCUUCUCCUCUCAGAUAUUACCUUUGGCGAAGAUUUCACUGAGCACCACAUCAUCUGUCCUUCUCUGGGAUCUGCUUCAGUCCUGGUUCUUCAGCAAUGUGAUGAGCUUCCAGCUCCUUUAAGAAUAGAACCUUGUGUUUUGGUCUCAGAAGAACCUCCUCUAAGAACAGAACCUGUUCAGAUGGCAUCAAGGUCACAUUAUUAAAUACUAAUGAUAUUUUAUACGUUUCAUCUCUAUUAACUCAUACAGUGGAGCAGGAAGAGACCAGACCUGGAAUGGUACCUCAGAAAUGCCUAAACUGCCAGAGAAACAAAUGAUGAUGAAGCAGGAAGAGAACCUGAAGCUCAAACAUAAGAAUGGAGUAACAGAGGGAAGAGAUUUAUAACUUCAUACAGCAUGUUUGGAUUAUUACUUUUUGUUUUGCAUCGUUGUUUCUGCUCUGACUUUCUUCAGAAGUGUUCAGGUUUGUGAACCCUGCAAGCUCAUGUUUUUCCCACCUGUGUGAAGGUUAAAAACUCAGUUUGCUCUGCUGCUGAAGCUGCGCCUUUUACACUUUCAGUUUCUCUAAUUCCUGUCAGCUGUUAAUAUUUUAUUGAACUAGACACAAACUACAUGAAUUACAAAUCGAGCUAACACAUUUUUCCCCUUGUGGUGCAUAAAUAUUCCCACCCUUUAGAAAUGUUGGUCCAGUGAUACAUGAUAAACAAUGUGCAUUAUGAAAUAUAGGCAUCCAGUAAAACAGCUGUGUUUAAUUUUAAAAACUGUGAGAAACUGAGUUUAAUCAUACUUUUAUUCAGUGUCCUACAAAAUUAAUGACACUGAAAAUAGGGGAAAAAAAUAAAUAAUAAAAUAGCUGGGACUGAUCAGUGUUUACUGGGUGUGUCCUCUGUUACGACCCACACCAGUACUGCUGGCAUCAACUUCCAACUUGAAGGGUUUUCCAAAUUAGGGGCAAACACUGAUCAGUCCCAGCUAGUGAACACGUGUGUGUGAGGACACACCCAGUAAACACUGAUCAGUCCCAGCUAGUGAACACGUGUGUAUGAGGACACACCCAGUAAACACUGAUCAGUCCCAGCUAGUGAACACGUGUGUAUGAGGACACACCCAGUAAAUACUGAUCAGUCCCAGCUAGUGAACACGUGUGUGUGAGGACACACCCAGUAAACACUGAUCAGUCCCAGCUAGUGAACACGUGUGUAUGAGGACACACCCAGUAAACACUGAUCAGUCCCAGCUAGUGAACACGUGUGUAUGAGGACACACCCAGUAAACACUGAUCAGUCCCAGCUAGUGAACACGUGUGUGUGAGGACACACCCAGUAAACACUGAUCAGUCCCAGCUAGUGAACACGUGUGUGAGAGGACACACCCAGUAAACACUGAUCAGUCCCAGCUAGUGAACACGUGUGUAUGAGGACACACCCAGUAAAUACUGAUCAGUCCCAGCUAGUGAACACGUGUGUAUGAGGACACACCCAGUAAACACUGAUCAGUCCUAGCUAGUGAACACGUGUGUAUGAGGACACACCCAGUAAACACUGAUCAGUCCCAGCUAGUGAACACGUGUGUAUGAGGACACACCCAGUAAACACUGAUCAGUCCCAGCUAGUGAACACGUGUGUGUGUAUGAGGACACACCCAGUAAACACUGAUCAGUCCCAGCUAGUGAACACGUGUGUGUGAGGACACACCCAGUAAACACUGAUCAGUCCCAGCUAGUGAACACGUGUGUAUGAGGACACACCCAGUAAACACUGAUCAGUCCCAGCUAGUGAACACGUGUGUGUGAGGACACACCCAGUAAACACUGAUCAGUCCCAGCUAGUGAACACGUGUGUGUGAGGACACACCCAGUAAACACUGAUCAGUCCCAGCUAGUGAACACGUGUGUGAGAGGACACACCCAGUAAACACUGAUCAGUCCCAGCUAGUGAACACGUGUGUAUGAGGACACACCCAGUAAAUACUGAUCAGUCCCAGCUAGUGAACACGUGUGUAUGAGGACACACCCAGUAAACACUGAUCAGUCCUAGCUAGUGAACACGUGUGUAUGAGGACACACCCAGUAAACACUGAUCAGUCCCAGCUAGUGAACACGUGUGUAUGAGGACACACCCAGUAAACACUGAACAGUCCCAGCUAGUGAACACGUGUGUGUGAGGACACACCCAGUAAACACUGAUCAGUCCCAGCUAGUGAACACGUGUGUGAGAGGACACACCCAGUAAACACUGAUCAGUCCCAGCUAGUGAACACGUGUGUAUGAGGACACACCCAGUAAACACUGAUCAGUCCCAGCUAGUGAACACGUGUGUAUGAGGACACACCCAGUAAACACUGAUCAGUCCCAGCUAGUGAACACGUGUGUAUGAGGACACACCCAGUAAACGCUGAUCAGUCCCAGCUAGUGAACACGUGUGUGUGUGAGGACACACCCAGUAAACACUGAUCAGUCCCAGCUAGUGAACACGUGUGUAUGAGGACACACCCAGUAAACACUGAUCAGUCCCAGCUAGUGAACACGUGUGUAUGAGGACACACCCAGUAAACACUGAUCAGUCCCAGCUAGUGAACACGUGUGUAUGAGGACACACCCAGUAAACACUGAUCAGUCCCAGCUAGUGAACACGUGUGUGUGAGGACACACCCAGUAAACACUGAUCAGUCCCAGCUAGUGAACACGUGUGUGUGAGGACACACCCAGUAAACACUGAUCAGUCCCAGCUAGUGAACACGUGUGUGUGAGGACACACCCAGUAAACACUGAUCAGUCCCAGCUAGUGAACACGUGUGUGUGAGGACACACCCAGUAAACACUGAUCAGUCCCAGCUAGUGAACACGUGUGUGUGAGGACACACCCAGUAAACACUGAUCAGUCCCAGCUAGUGAACACGUGUGUGUGAGGACACACCCAGUAAACACGUGUGUGUGAGGACACACCCACUAAACACUGAUCAGUUCCAGCUAGUGAACACGUGUGUAUGAGGACACACCCAGUAAACACUGAUCAGUCCCAGCUAGUGAACACGUGUGUAUGAGGACACACCCAGUAAACACUGAUCAGUCCCAGCUAGUGAACACGUGUGUAUGAGGACACACCCAGUAAACACUGAUCAGUCCCAGCUAGUGAACACGUGUGUAUGAGGACACACCCAGUAAACACUGAUCAGUCCCAGCUAGUGGGAAAGUUACUGAGCAGCUCAAACUGACAUGGAGCACCUCACAGGGAGAGGAAUCACAACAGACAGGUGGGAAAAA
Long non-coding RNA from Pangasianodon hypophthalmus (striped catfish), 3914 nucleotides. RefSeq lists it as uncharacterized. The record is from RefSeq and is a predicted model, not a curated record. The transcript is spliced from 3 exons. NCBI's taxonomy places the organism in Eukaryota, Metazoa, Chordata, Actinopteri, Siluriformes, Pangasiidae.